GAUACCCUAUUAUUUUAAGCUAUAUAUUGGUAGUAAUUAAUAAUUUAUGAAAUCAUAAGAUUUUGGCGGUAUUUUAAGCUUAUUAGAGGAAUUUGCUCUGUAAUGGAUACAACGCCUUAAUCUUACUUAAUUUGGUUUUAAAGUCAGUUUGUAUACCACUAUAUUUAAUUAUAUUGAAUAAUUAUAUUUAAGAUUUUUUUUUAUAAAAAAUAUAUUAAGUCAAGGUGCAAUUUAUAAUUAUGAAUGAAGUGAAUUACAUUAAUUUUAAUUUUACUUAAAUAUUGAAAAAAAAAA
Molecule: ribosomal RNA, 294 nt
Filed under: Ixodes affinis
Lineage: Eukaryota; Metazoa; Arthropoda; Arachnida; Ixodida; Ixodidae
Description: partial 12S ribosomal RNA
Source: RNAcentral